Transfer RNA from Ipomoea nil (Japanese morning glory), 71 nucleotides. It matches the Rfam family "tRNA". Rfam says of the family: Transfer RNA (tRNA) molecules are approximately 80 nucleotides in length. Their secondary structure includes four short double-helical elements and three loops (D, anti-codon, and T loops). Further hydrogen bonds mediate the characteristic L-shaped molecular structure. tRNAs have two regions of fundamental functional importance: the anti-codon, which is responsible for specific mRNA codon recognition, and the 3' end, to which the tRNAs corresponding amino acid is attached (by aminoacyl-tRNA synthetases). tRNAs cope with the degeneracy of the genetic code in two manners: having more than one tRNA (with a specific anti-codon) for a particular amino acid; and 'wobble' base-pairing, i.e. permitting non-standard base-pairing at the 3rd anti-codon position. The record is from Rfam. Lineage: Eukaryota; Viridiplantae; Streptophyta; Magnoliopsida; Solanales; Convolvulaceae.
GCGCAUUUAGUGUAGUGGUAUCAUAGUACCCUCCUACGGUACUGACCGGGUUUCAAUUCCCCAAAUGCGCA